AUGGAUAGUAGUACAACUAUGAAGAAAUCCAGAGCAGGUACAAUAAGCGUCAAGGAGGCUCCUGCCAAGUUACCAUACCAACUAAGUGACGAGGAACUCAAGAAGGUCGUGGAUGGCGAAGUGAAACGCCAUCUUGCACCGACACGGCCCGAGCGAAAGGAGAAAAUAGAUCCGGCAAAAGCGAAGCGCUGUCUGGAAAACCUCACGCGACCGUUGCCGCCUCCGCUGCUAUCAAACUAUGACCACUCUAUUAUCAAGUCACAUAAAGAACAACAGCGGUCGGGAAGUAGUAGUAGUGCAAGGGGGGAAACAAUUCCCUAG
This 321-nucleotide ribosomal RNA is filed under the name Triticum aestivum (bread wheat). Its description in RNAcentral is "partial small subunit ribosomal RNA". The record is from RNAcentral. Lineage: Eukaryota; Viridiplantae; Streptophyta; Magnoliopsida; Poales; Poaceae.